Molecule: ribosomal RNA, 1742 nt
Filed under: Marinomonas sp. S3726
Lineage: Bacteria; Pseudomonadati; Pseudomonadota; Gammaproteobacteria; Oceanospirillales; Oceanospirillaceae
Description: bacterial LSU rRNA
Rfam family: Bacterial large subunit ribosomal RNA
Source: RNAcentral
GCAUGGUAGAGGAGCGUUCUGUAAGCCGUUGAAGGUCAAGCUGUAAGGCAGGCUGGAGGUAUCAGAAGUGCGAAUGUUGACAUGAGUAACGAUAAGGGGAGUGAAAAACUUCCCCGCCGGAAGACCAAGGUUUCCUGUCCCAUGUUAAUCAGGGCAGGGUGAGUCGGCCCCUAAGGCGAGGCAGAAAUGCGUAGUCGAUGGGAAACAGGUUAAUAUUCCUGUACUUGCAUAUAUUGCGAUGGAGAGACGGAGAAGGCUAGGCCAGCACAGCGAUGGUUGUCUGUGUUUAAGGCGGUAGGCUGGUGACUUAGGUAAAUCCGGGUUGCCUUAAGGCCGAGAACUGAUGACGAGCCCUCUUUUGGGUGAAGUGGUUGAUGCCAUGCUUCCAGGAAAAACUUCUAAGCUUCAGAUAUAUGGGAACCGUACCCCAAACCGACACAGGUGGUCAGGUAGAGAAUACCAAGGCGCUUGAGAGAACUCUGGUGAAGGAACUAGGCAAAAUGGUACCGUAACUUCGGGAGAAGGUACGCCGAUUUUGGUGAUGGGAUUUACUCCUUAAGCUGAGAUUGGUCGAAGAUACCAGGUGGCUGCGACUGUUUAUUAAAAACACAGCACUCUGCAAACACGAAAGUGGACGUAUAGGGUGUGACGCCUGCCCGGUGCUUGAAGGUUAAUUGAUGGGGUUAGCAUUAGCGAAGCUCUUGAUCGAAGCCCAAGUAAACGGCGGCCGUAACUAUAACGGUCCUAAGGUAGCGAAAUUCCUUGUCGGGUAAGUUCCGACCUGCACGAAUGGCGUAACGAUGGCCACACUGUCUCCACCAGAGACUCAGUGAAAUUGAAAUCGCAGUGAAGAUGCUGUGUAUCCGCGGCUAGACGGAAAGACCCCGUGAACCUUUACUAUAGCUUCACAGUGAACUUUGAACCUACUUGUGUAGGAUAGGUGGGAGGCUUUGAAACCAAGACGCUAGUUUUGGUGGAGCCACUCUUGAAAUACCACCCUGGUAUGUUUGAGGUUCUAACUCAGGUCCCUAAUCGGGAUCGAGGACACUGUGUGGUGGGUAGUUUGACUGGGGCGGUCUCCUCCCAAAGAGUAACGGAGGAGCACGAAGGUGUGCUCAGCAUGGUCGGAAAUCAUGCGAAGAGUGUAAAGGCAAAAGCGCGCUUAACUGCGAGACAGACACGUCGAGCAGGUACGAAAGUAGGUCUUAGUGAUCCGGUGGUUCUGUAUGGAAGGGCCAUCGCUCAACGGAUAAAAGGUACUCCGGGGAUAACAGGCUGAUACCGCCCAAGAGUUCACAUCGACGGCGGUGUUUGGCACCUCGAUGUCGGCUCAUCACAUCCUGGGGCUGAAGCCGGUCCCAAGGGUAUGGCUGUUCGCCAUUUAAAGUGGUACGCGAGCUGGGUUUAGAACGUCGUGAGACAGUUCGGUCCCUAUCUGCCGUGGACGUUUGAGAUUUGAGAGGAGCUGCUCCUAGUACGAGAGGACCGGAGUGGACGAACCUCUGGUGUUCCGGUUGUCACGCCAGUGGCAUUGCCGGGUAGCUACGUUCGGACGGGAUAACCGCUGAAAGCAUCUAAGCGGGAAGCCUCCCUCAAGAUGAGAUCUCACUGGAACUUUAAGUUCCCUAAAGAGCCGUUGAAGACUACGACGUUGAUAGGCUGGGUGUGUAAGCGUUGUGAGGCGUUGAGCUAACCAGUACUAAUUGCUCGUGAGGCUUGACCAUAUAACGCCAAAAUGGUUU